AGAGUUUGAUCCUGGCUCAGGACGAACGCUGGCGGCGUGCCUAAUACAUGCAAGUCGAGCGAGGGUCUUCGGACCCUAGCGGCGGACGGGUGAGUAACACGUAGGCAACCUGCCUGUAAGACUGGGAUAACAUAGGGAAACUUAUGCUAAUACCGGAUAGAGUUUUCUCUCGCAUGAGGGAGAACGGAAAGAUGGCGCAAGCUAUCACUUACAGAUGGGCCUGCGGCGCAUUAGCUAGUUGGUGGGGUAAUGGCCUACCAAGGCGACGAUGCGUAGCCGACCUGAGAGGAUGAUCAGCCACACUGGGACUGAGACACGGCCCAGACUCCUACGGGAGGCAGCAGUCGGGAAUCUUGCGCAAUGGGCGAAAGCCUGACGCAGCAACGCCGUGUGGGUGAGGAAGGCCCUAGGGUCGUAAAGCCCUGUUGUUGGGGACGAAGGGCGAAGGGUUAAUAGCCCCUAGCUUGACGGUACCCUUCGAGGAAGCCCCGGCUAACUACGUGCCAGCAGCCGCGGUAAUACGUAGGGGGCGAGCGUUGUCCGGAAUUAUUGGGCGUAAAGAGCGUGUAGGCGGUUCGGUAAGUCUGUCGUGAAAUUCUGGGGCUCAACCCCGGGCGUGCGAUGGAUACUGCCGGGCUAGAGGGUGGUAGAGGCGAGUGGAAUUCCCGGUGUAGCGGUGAAAUGCGCAGAUAUCGGGAGGAACACCAGUAGCGAAGGCGGCUCGCUGGGCCACACCUGACGCUGAGACGCGAAAGCUAGGGGAGCGAACAGGAUUAGAUACCCUAGUAGUCC
This 792-nucleotide ribosomal RNA is filed under the name uncultured Rubrobacter sp. RNAcentral describes it as "bacterial SSU rRNA". It matches the Rfam family "Bacterial small subunit ribosomal RNA", at positions 8 to 796 of the family's 1533-position model. Lineage: Bacteria; Bacillati; Actinomycetota; Rubrobacteria; Rubrobacterales; Rubrobacteraceae. The record is from RNAcentral.